CAAGGAAUAUUGCACAAUGGGGGGAACCCUGAUGCAGCAACGCCGCGUGGGCGAUGAAGGCCUUCGGGUUGUAAAGCCCUUUUCUAAAGGAAGAGACAAGGACGGUACUUUAGGAAUAAGUCUCGGCUAACUACGUGCCAGCAGCCGCGGUAAAACGUAGGAGACGAGCGUUAUCCGGAUUUACUGGGCGUAAAGGGCAAGUAGGCGGUGGACAAAGUUGGACGUGACAUCUCUCGGCUUAACUGGGAGGGGUCGUCCAAAACUAGUCGACUAGAGGGCAGGAGAGGGGAGUGGAAUUCCUAGUGUAGCGGUGGAAUGCUUAGAGAUUAGGAAGAACACCAGUGGCGAAGGCGACUCUCUGGCCUGACCCUGACGCUGAGAGGCGAAAGCUAGGGGAGCGAACGGG
This 406-nucleotide ribosomal RNA is filed under the name uncultured bacterium. RNAcentral describes it as "bacterial SSU rRNA". It matches the Rfam family "Bacterial small subunit ribosomal RNA", at positions 355 to 776 of the family's 1533-position model. The record is from RNAcentral.